This 1015-nucleotide ribosomal RNA is filed under the name Acinetobacter sp. Its description in RNAcentral is "bacterial SSU rRNA". It matches the Rfam family "Bacterial small subunit ribosomal RNA", at positions 56 to 1064 of the family's 1533-position model. The record is from RNAcentral. Lineage: Bacteria; Pseudomonadati; Pseudomonadota; Gammaproteobacteria; Moraxellales; Moraxellaceae.
UGCAAGUCGAGCGGAGUGAUGGUGCUUGCACUAUCACUUAGCGGCGGACGGGUGAGUAAUGCUUAGGAAUCUGCCUAUUAGUGGGGGACAACAUUUCGAAAGGAAUGCUAAUACCGCAUACGUCCUACGGGAGAAAGCAGGGGAUCUUCGGACCUUGCGCUAAUAGAUGAGCCUAAGUCGGAUUAGCUAGUUGGUGGGGUAAAGGCCUACCAAGGCGACGAUCUGUAGCGGGUCUGAGAGGAUGAUCCGCCACACUGGGACUGAGACACGGCCCAGACUCCUACGGGAGGCAGCAGUGGGGAAUAUUGGACAAUGGGCGGAAGCCUGAUCCAGCCAUGCCGCGUGUGUGAAGAAGGCCUUAUGGUUGUAAAGCACUUUAAGCGAGGAGGAGGCUACUUUAGUUAAUACCUAGAGAUAGUGGACGUUACUCGCAGAAUAAGCACCGGCUAACUCUGUGCCAGCAGCCGCGGUAAUACAGAGGGUGCAAGCGUUAAUCGGAUUUACUGGGCGUAAAGCGCGCGUAGGCGGCUAAUUAAGUCAAAUGUGAAAUCCCCGAGCUUAACUUGGGAAUUGCAUUCGAUACUGGUUAGCUAGAGUGUGGGAGAGGAUGGUAGAAUUCCAGGUGUAGCGGUGAAAUGCGUAGAGAUCUGGAGGAAUACCGAUGGCGAAGGCAGCCAUCUGGCCUAACACUGACGCUGAGGUGCGAAAGCAUGGGGAGCAAACAGGAUUAGAUACCCUGGUAGUCCAUGCCGUAAACGAUGUCUACUAGCCGUUGGGGCCUUUGAGGCUUUAGUGGCGCAGCUAACGCGAUAAGUAGACCGCCUGGGGGAGUACGGUCGCAAGACUAAAACUCAAAUGAAUUGACGGGGGCCCGCACAAGCGGUGGAAGCAUGUGGUUUAAUUCGAUGCAACGCGAAAACCUUACCUGGCCUUGACAUAGUAAGAACUUUCCAGAAUGGAUUGGUGCCUUUCGGGAACUUACAUACAGGUGCUGCAUGGCUGUCGUCAGCUCGUG